This 477-nucleotide ribosomal RNA is filed under the name uncultured bacterium. RNAcentral's name for it is "bacterial SSU rRNA". It matches the Rfam family "Bacterial small subunit ribosomal RNA", at positions 28 to 488 of the family's 1533-position model. The record is from RNAcentral.
GAUGAACGCUGGCGGCAUGCCUAAUACAUGCAAGUCGAACGAGAGGAAGGAAAGCUUGCUUUCCUGAAUCUAGUGGCGAACGGGUGAGUAACACGUAGGUAACCUGCCCAUGUGCCCGGGAUAACUUCUGGAAACGGAUGCUAAAACCGGAUAGGUAGCAGACAAGCAUUUGACUGCUAUUAAAGUGGCCUUGGCCAUGAACAUGGAUGGACCUGCGGUGCAUUAGCUGGUUGGUGAGGUAACGGCCCACCAAGGCGACGAUGCAUAGCCGGCCUGAGAGGGCGGACGGCCACAUUGGGACUGAGACACGGCCCAAACUCCUACGGGAGGCAGCAGUAGGGAAUUUUCGUCAAUGGGGGGAACCCUGAACGAGCAAUGCCGCGUGAGUGAGGAAGGUCUUCGGAUCGUAAAGCUCUGUUGUAAGAGAAAAACGGCACUCAUAGGGAAUGAUGAGUGAGUGAUGGUAUCUUACCAGAA